CGCACGGGUGAGUAACACGUAUCCAACCUGCCGUCUACUCUUGGACAGCCUUCUGAAAGGAAGAUUAAUACAAGAUGGCAUCAUGAGUCCGCAUGUUUACAUGAUUAAAGGUAUUCCGGUAGACGAUGGGGAUGCGUUCCAUUAGAUAGUAGGCGGGGUAACGGCCCACCUAGUCUUCGAUGGAUAGGGGUUCUGAGAGGAAGGUCCCCCACAUUGGAACUGAGACACGGUCCAA
Molecule: ribosomal RNA, 235 nt
Filed under: uncultured bacterium
Lineage: Bacteria
Description: partial 16S ribosomal RNA
Rfam family: Bacterial small subunit ribosomal RNA
Source: RNAcentral